RNAcentral lists this ribosomal RNA (253 nucleotides) under uncultured bacterium. Its description in RNAcentral is "partial 16S ribosomal RNA". It matches the Rfam family "Bacterial small subunit ribosomal RNA", at positions 524 to 776 of the family's 1533-position model. The record is from RNAcentral.
GACGGAGGAUGCAAGUGUUAUCCGGAAUCACUGGGCGUAAAGCGUCUGUAGGUGGUUUAAAAAGUCCACUGUUAAAAAUUGAAGCUUAACUUCAAAGAUGCCGUGGAAACUUUUAAACUUGAGUAUGAUAGGGGUAGAGGGAAUUUCCAGUGGAGCGGUGAAAUGCGUAGAUAUUGGAAAGACCGCCAAUGGCGAAGGCACUCUACUGGGCCAUUACUGACACUGAGAGACGAAAGCUAGGGGAGCGAAUGGG